CAACUUUCAGCAACGGAUCUCUUGGUUCUCGCAUCGAUGAAGAACGCAGCGAAUUGCGAUAAGUAAUGUGAAUUGCAGAUUUCCAGUGAAUCAUCGAAUCUUUGAACGCACCUUGCGCUCCUUGGUAUUCCGAGGAGCAUGCCUGUUUGAGUGUCAU
RNAcentral lists this ribosomal RNA (157 nucleotides) under uncultured Xerocomus. RNAcentral describes it as "5.8S ribosomal RNA". It matches the Rfam family "5.8S ribosomal RNA". From Rfam's summary of the family: 5.8S ribosomal RNA (5.8S rRNA) is a component of the large subunit of the eukaryotic ribosome. It is transcribed by RNA polymerase I as part of the 45S precursor that also contains 18S and 28S rRNA. Functionally, it is thought that 5.8S rRNA may be involved in ribosome translocation. The record is from RNAcentral. Lineage: Eukaryota; Fungi; Basidiomycota; Agaricomycetes; Boletales; Boletaceae.